Molecule: transfer RNA, 75 nt
Filed under: Candidatus Uhrbacteria bacterium
Lineage: Bacteria; Candidatus Uhriibacteriota
Description: tRNA-Glu
Rfam family: tRNA
About the family: Transfer RNA (tRNA) molecules are approximately 80 nucleotides in length. Their secondary structure includes four short double-helical elements and three loops (D, anti-codon, and T loops). Further hydrogen bonds mediate the characteristic L-shaped molecular structure. tRNAs have two regions of fundamental functional importance: the anti-codon, which is responsible for specific mRNA codon recognition, and the 3' end, to which the tRNAs corresponding amino acid is attached (by aminoacyl-tRNA synthetases). tRNAs cope with the degeneracy of the genetic code in two manners: having more than one tRNA (with a specific anti-codon) for a particular amino acid; and 'wobble' base-pairing, i.e. permitting non-standard base-pairing at the 3rd anti-codon position.
Source: RNAcentral
GGCUCGUUCGUCUAAUGGUUAGGACAGCGGCUUUUCAAGCCGUCAAUAGGGGUUCGAUUCCCCUACGGGCUACCA